UUUUUCUUUCAUAGAAAGUUCCUUUUUUAUGCCCAAUAAUGAUAAUCACUCACAGUGUGAUAUGAAAUGUGUUUUGUUCAGUGAUUCCAGGAUCUGGUUGUAGCCUCCUUAUGUUAAUUCUCUUCAAUGGUCUAAGUAGUGCAUGUUGUGCUUGGAUGAGAAGAUCGUGCCUAAGACUACUAACUACAAGCUUGAUUUUAAUGGAUUUCUCUCCAAGGGAAGGAAAAGACGCAACAAGUGUCCUUAAAUGUUCCUACAAGAUGCAAAAUUUGACUUGGAUAGCAACCCUUGAUUCUCAGGUGUUAGUAGUAGAGGUGCGACACAGGGACGAUGAGAGGUUUUGGAAGCUUUGAUCUCCACAGGUUCAAACACUAAUCUCAGUUCUCAGAAGCAGCGGUAUUCCUUUUGUUUCGUUCACAUUUCUUUUGUUAUUUAUUUUGUGGUCAUGUUGUGUUUGGUCAUUGAAAAGAAGUCAGAACUUUUAUUUCUGUUAAUUUGGCUUUGCUGAAACUACAUCAUACCAAUAACUAUAUUAGUUUAAUUUUUCUCUUUUAGAAUGUUAACCUGACAUGCCUUAUUACUUGAUUGGUUUAUAUAGUUAGAGGAGAUAUAUAAUAAAAAAGGUUAAAGAAAGUAUAAGGUUAAUUAAUUUAUGCUCUUAUGUUCUUGAUACUACGCCUCUUAGACUGCAGUUUAUAUGUGGUACGUGUUUUUCUUCUAAAUAAUGUCAAUUAUGUAAACUGGAGUUUAGUUUCUCUUUGUUUUGCCAUUAUAGACUACAUUUUUGUUUCUUUUUUUCUGCUGUGUUUUAGUUUAAGAUCUCUUUAUACUGAUUUGGCUGCGAUUUUUGUGAGGAUUUCCAUGAUAGUAGUGAGUUUAUUCUUAUUGGUUUUUUUCUUUUAUAUUCCUGGUGAAUUGGUUAUUGAUACUUACAUCAAUCAACAGUUUUUGAUGCAUUCUAAGUCAUGUGCAUCAACCCAAUAGACAAUAACCAUGAUUGUGCUGGCUGCUGCGAGAAUUAUAUGCUAUAGGGUUCUCCACUUAAAUUGCAAAUUGUCCUGUACCCUAAACUCCAUUUUCAUAAUAACAAUUUUUGAUGUUGAUAAUUGGUUGCAGGGCUUCAGGAUUGAUAAAUCAUUAUUGGAACGUGUUGUUGCUUCAUUAAUCACUCCAUUUUGAUUGGGUUGUUGCUCCCUGUUGUUGUCUAGCAUCCAGAUUUUCUUUGUUUUUUUUAUACUGAUAUAUAUAUAUUCGGGUUUACUUUAUUUAAAUUAAAUGCUUCCAUAUUUACUUGGAAGAUAUUGAUAAAUACCUUUACCUGUAGUCUUGGUUCUCAAUGUUAUAAUUGAUUCUCUUACCUUUCAUAUUGUAGGUUGUUUUGGCUGUUUGAAAUAGGACCAAAAGCAAGUUCUUUUGCUAUUUAAAUUUUAACAUGAGACUGAGAAUGACAAAGGUCAAUGGAUUUAUGUGCAGACUGCAGAAUAGUUGUGAAGGAAACCUAUGAACCCAGGCAAUUAUAUGUUAUAAUGUUUUGACUUUGAUGAUUGCAAUAUUUAUAGGAGUUACUUCUGGGUAUUCUAUGUACUUCUUUGGCAAUUACAGUAAGACUCAUUUUCCUAACAAAAUUACUAUACAGAUUAGGAGUGCCCUUGAAAAUUGAUUUGCUCCCAAUUAAUCUUAAGGUUCCUAUAAAGAGAUAUGUAUGUGUAGUAUAACAUAGAAGAUUAUAGCCUGUA
Long non-coding RNA from Lotus japonicus, 1736 nucleotides. RefSeq lists it as uncharacterized. Lineage: Eukaryota; Viridiplantae; Streptophyta; Magnoliopsida; Fabales; Fabaceae. The record is from RefSeq and is a predicted model, not a curated record. The transcript has 3 exons.